Molecule: ribosomal RNA, 524 nt
Filed under: Bifidobacterium bifidum
Lineage: Bacteria; Bacillati; Actinomycetota; Actinomycetes; Bifidobacteriales; Bifidobacteriaceae
Description: bacterial SSU rRNA
Rfam family: Bacterial small subunit ribosomal RNA
Source: RNAcentral
AUGCCGGAUGUUCCACAUGAUCGCAUGUGAUUGUGGGAAAGAUUCUAUCGGCGUGGGAUGGGGUCGCGUCCUAUCAGCUUGUUGGUGAGGUAACGGCUCACCAAGGCUUCGACGGGUAGCCGGCCUGAGAGGGCGACCGGCCACAUUGGGACUGAGAUACGGCCCAGACUCCUACGGGAGGCAGCAGUGGGGAAUAUUGCACAAUGGGCGCAAGCCUGAUGCAGCGACGCCGCGUGAGGGAUGGAGGCCUUCGGGUUGUAAACCUCUUUUGUUUGGGAGCAAGCCUUCGGGUGAGUGUACCUUUCGAAUAAGCGCCGGCUAACUACGUGCCAGCAGCCGCGGUAAUACGUAGGGCGCAAGCGUUAUCCGGAUUUAUUGGGCGUAAAGGGCUCGUAGGCGGCUCGUCGCGUCCGGUGUGAAAGUCCAUCGCUUAACGGUGGAUCUGCGCCGGGUACGGGCGGGCUGGAGUGCGGUAGGGGAGACUGGAAUUCCCGGUGUAACGGUGGAAUGUGUAGAUAUCGGAA